This 253-nucleotide ribosomal RNA is filed under the name uncultured bacterium. RNAcentral describes it as "partial 16S ribosomal RNA". It matches the Rfam family "Bacterial small subunit ribosomal RNA", at positions 524 to 776 of the family's 1533-position model. The record is from RNAcentral.
UACGGAGGGUGCAAGCGUUAAUCGGAAUUACUGGGCGUAAAGCGUGCGCAGGCGGUUUGUUAAGUCCGUUGUGAAAGCCCCGAGCUCAACUUGGGAAUUGCAGUGGAUACUGGCAGGCUGGAGUACGGUAGAGGAAGGUGGAAUUCCCGGUGUAGCAGUGAAAUGCGUAGAUAUCGGGAGGAACACCAGUGGCGAAAGCGGCUCACUGGACCAUAACUGACGCUGAUGCACGAAAGCUAGGGGAGCAAACGGG